This is a non-coding RNA of Stegodyphus mimosarum, 454 nucleotides long. The record is from Rfam. NCBI's taxonomy places the organism in Eukaryota, Metazoa, Arthropoda, Arachnida, Araneae, Eresidae.
UUACCCUACUGAUGACUGGUCGUUGCGCUAGUAAUCCUGCUCAGUACGAGAGGAACCGCAGGUUCGGACACUUGGUACAUGUGCCUGGUCGAGUGACCAGUGGUGCGAAGCUACCAUCCGUGGGAUUAUGACUGAACGCCUCUAAGUCAGAAUCCCACCUAAUCACUGCAACGAUACCGUUUGUGCCAUGCGCGUCGGUGGGCUAUUUUAGCUGGAGCGUACAUCUGUCCCGUACGGGUCAGACUACUCCGGCGACGAGGCCUAUUCGACUCGGAACAAUCAAGGGGCCGCCGAGACUAUGUGGUCCCCGCUUAGAAAUCCACACCAUGCAGGUGUGACGUGCAGGCGCCAAAUCGUCUGUAGACGACUUAGGUACUGGUCUGGGUGUUGUAAGUAGAAGAGCAGCCACCAUACUGCGAUCUAUUGAGACUCGUCCUCUGACUGGAAGAUUUGU